Molecule: long non-coding RNA, 612 nt
Organism: Rhinopithecus roxellana (golden snub-nosed monkey)
Lineage: Eukaryota; Metazoa; Chordata; Mammalia; Primates; Cercopithecidae
Exons: 3
Source: RefSeq, a predicted model, not a curated record
CUGGCUGCAAAAAGAAAGCAAAAUCUGUGAGGAGGUGCCAGGAAGUGGUAGCUCCUGCCAGCGCUUCACACACAUAGCUCUCUCACCUCGAAGCCACUCACAGACGUGAAAUGGUUUCUCCAAUCCUGCCACGAGUUGCAGGCUGCACCAAAGCCCAGUGGCAACUCAUGAUGCUACAGUUUUUAACAACCCUGAUCAGCUUACUGUCCUGCACCCUGCAGCCUCGUGUUUCAUCUCACUUUUCUGCAACAUGCCAGCAGGUCCCACUAAGGAAAAAGAAGCUUCUGAGAAGAGGAAGGCACGCUGAGGAAGCAGGGGAGUCGUCACACAGAUGCAGGGUCACUAAGGUUCAAGUACAACAUCCAGACCAUCCUGCCAUCUCAAGAUCAAUAGUAACACGAUGCUGAGAUUGACAUCCAGGUAGAGAAAACAAACCGAUCAGAAAGAUUAAGUGAUUCCUCAAGAAAUGAGGAGGCUAGUCAAUGGUGAGAAAGUCUGCAUGCCACAUCGCAAAGCAGAUGCUGAUUCGAGGCCUCCUUCCCCAUUUGGAGACUGAGCUACAGGCCUGGCCCCACCCCUCACUAGUUAUGUGACAGUCCUUGAACUUUUCCA